UGGGGAAUUUUGGACAAUGGGCGAAAGCCUGAUCCAGCAAUGCCGCGUGUGUGAAGAAGGCCUUCGGGUUGUAAAGCACUUUUGUCCGGAAAGAAAUGGCUCUGGUUAAUACCUGGGGUCGAUGACGGUACCGGAAGAAUAAGGACCGGCUAACUACGUGCCAGCAGCCGCGGUAAUACGUAGGGUCCAAGCGUUAAUCGGAAUUACUGGGCGUAAAGCGUGCGCAGGCGGUUGUGCAAGACCGAUGUGAAAUCCCCGAGCUUAACUUGGGAAUUGCAUUGGUGACUGCACGGCUAGAGUGUGUCAGAGGGGGGUAGAAUUCCACGUGUAGCAGUGAAAUGCGUAGAGAUGUGGAGGAAUACCGAU
Molecule: ribosomal RNA, 366 nt
Filed under: uncultured bacterium
Lineage: Bacteria
Description: partial 16S ribosomal RNA
Rfam family: Bacterial small subunit ribosomal RNA
Source: RNAcentral